RNAcentral lists this long non-coding RNA (721 nucleotides) under Mytilus galloprovincialis (Mediterranean mussel). The record is from RNAcentral. Lineage: Eukaryota; Metazoa; Mollusca; Bivalvia; Mytilida; Mytilidae.
UAAGAUAUCUUAUAUAAUUUAUAAGAUAUCUUAUAUAGUUUAUAAGAUAUCUUAUAAACUUUAGAAGAUAUUUUAUAUAGUUUAUGAGAUAUCUUAUGAAGACAAUUCUAUAAGAUAUCUGAUAAAUUAUAUGAGAAAUCUUAUAAACUAUAUAAGAUAUCUUAUAAAGUUUAUGAGAUAUCUUUAAGUAAGAAUAAAUAGCAAAAUGGCUUGCCAUACAUUCUUCUAAGGAAACUACAGAGAACAGACGCUUUAAACAUUGUAGAGUUUCUACAAAAUAUGGGUAUAAUAAAAACAAUCAACCAAAAAAUGUUUUGAUUCAGUGAUAUUCUUCCGAAUGGAUAUGUAGCAAUAGUUUAAUUUAUGAAUUAUUCGUGUAUAAUAAAUAUGCAUCAAUUACUUGCUAUUUGGAAGAUCUAAAUAUAAUAAGUAAAUAUCCGGCUCAGAGAUCAUAUCCGUUCUGUUCAAAACCAUGUAACACUACACUCAAUAUUAAGUAUAGUAUUGCGGAGCAUUCAAGGAACGGAUGGGAACUAUGCGCCCGAGAUUGAAUAGUUGUUAGACAUAUACUCUUAUGUUAAUAUUUGUUAUAUAAAUUAUUUACCUAUAUAUAUACUUGUAUUGACAAUAUUAUUAAAUAAAUAUGCCAUUAAAGUAUGAAAUAUUGAAAUAUUAUAGUAAAAUGUCUAAAUAUGCAUGUAUGUUUGUACAACUCUGACCG